RNAcentral lists this ribosomal RNA (524 nucleotides) under uncultured bacterium. Its description in RNAcentral is "partial 16S ribosomal RNA". It matches the Rfam family "Bacterial small subunit ribosomal RNA", at positions 355 to 895 of the family's 1533-position model. The record is from RNAcentral.
UGGGGAAUAUUGCACAAUGGGCGAAAGCCUGAUGCAGCAACGCCGCGUGAGUGAUGAAGGUCUUCGGGUUGUAAAGCUCUGUCUUUUGGGACGAUAAUGACGGUACCAAAGGAGGAAGCCACGGCUAACUACGUGCCAGCAGCCGCGGUAAUACGUAGGUGGCAAGCGUUGUCCGGAUUUACUGGGCGUAAAGGAUGCGUAGGCGGAUUUUUAAGUGAGAUGUGAAAUACCCGGGCUUAACUUGGGUGCUGCAUUUCAAACUGGGAAUCUAGAGUGCGGGAGAGGAGAAUGGAAUUCCUAGUGUAGCGGUGAAAUGCGUAGAGAUUAGGAAGAACACCAGUGGCGAAGGCGAUUCUCUGGACCGUAACUGACGCUGAGGCAUGAAAGCGUGGGUAGCAAACAGGAUUAGAUACCCUGGUAGUCCACGCCGUAAACGAUGAGUACUAGGUGUAGGAGGUAUCGACCCCUUCUGUGCCGCAGUUAACACAAUAAGUACUCCGCCUGGGAAGUACGAUCGCAAGAUU